AAUACAAAAGAAAAAGAAACACUGGCCGUGGCGGAGUCACUUUCUCAGCGGAUUUUUCCAAUCUCCUCUCGAUUUUUCUUUGUGUGCGUCUGUUUCCUUCAUCUCAGUCACUUCACUAAACCGUAGCUCCGACGACGUGUCCAGCAUUAGCCUUACGGUGUCAAGCAUCAUUGUGGCAAUCUUCAAGUCGUCUUGGCACUCGUUGAAGCUUAGUGGCUUAGUUAGCUGACCGCUAACAAAGGAUCAAAGCGUUUCCAUCUUCACGUCGUCGAGCAAGCAGAAAUCGAGUGUGGAAAACGCCACCGCCUGCAGCUAUGUUGAUGGAGGAACUUUGUGUCGGCAAAGAGGAGCCUCCACAUCACAAGCACUCGACUGCUUGCAACACAAUGCAUGCGAAAGUGGUUGUUAACAGACUCGAAGCGCCACCCUUGCUCUUUUUAUCCAUCCGAGCACCGAGAUAGCAGCUAAUUUGGCUCAAUACAGACUACAAUUAGGGGGCGGAGCUGCAUGCUGUAUUUUUCGUCUGCACACGUGAGGAUGAGUCUGGAAAAAAAAAUAAUACUGUUUUUUUUUUUUUUUUUAAGACGGCCCACAGGGACAGCGGUAACAGAAUGUAAGUUAUACUCAGUGACACUGUCAUAAAUAAAUACCAAACAAAAAAUGAUAACAGUGUAAUUUUUUUUUUUUUUUUUUUUUAAUAAAACGCGGACCGGCCCAUCUGGCCGGCCGGCCCUUCUGGAAUCGUCCAGAAGCUCCCGAUUAGUCACUCCGGGCCUGCCCAUGGCAGAUCUCAAUGGUGUACAUGUUGUAAUACUCUCUCCUGAAUUCUGCACAGAACCUGCUCCAUGUCCAGACACCUGUGGGAUUAAAAAAAAAAAUCACAUUUACAUAUAUAGCUUGUAGACAAAUGUGACAACAGCACAAAAAAAGUACAUGUCAUUGCAUUUUACUGAAGUACUAACUGUUAAGCCAUUUAAAAUGUGCCCGUCUUCUGAAGGAGUCUGGAGAACCAAGGUCUCCGAUUCUGGAGCACACAAGAGCCAACGUGCAUAUAGCACGGUCACCUUCCCGAAGGACAACUUUUUCAAGUAUGUUGGCAGUCAAUACUUCUGGCAACUGUAAAAUAUAGGUGAGCCGACAAUGAAAAAGUAUCAAAUUUAUUAAAAAACAAACGUUUAAAAUGUAAUUGGCUUCUCAUGACAAUUACUAAACUCCCUGUGCAAUACUGCCUCAUUGGGCCCUGCCUCUGAUUAUAAUUACUAGUAUAGCAGUUAUGUCCUCAAUUUAGAUCAAAGGAAAUUAUGUCCAGGAUUAGGCAGCUGUCAGUGUCAUCCUCAACCUUUCAAAGAAAACAUAAUUUACACAUGACAUGCAGGUGAACGUUAUUACCAGGUAAGCCAUCAAUUGCAGUGAUGACCAUUCCCCUUAUCAACAUUGAUUGAUUAUCUUAUAGUUUUCUUUUACCUGUCUGAUUGAAGUUUAGUAAGAUAUAGAGGGGGUUGUCUUUGGAACGCUGAAGACAGUCUGUAGAGUUCCCUGGAGAAGAGGGGACGCUUUCUCUGUCCAGAAGGCAAAUCUGUGCCCAUGCCUUUAAAAAGAAAUGCAAAUAAAUCCAUGCCCAAUACCUCCCAAUGUUUUUUGACCUAAGUGUCACAAAAUGAAAAACAGACCACCAAAAAGGCUUUAAAAAUGUGACAAUGUUUGAUAAUUUCUCAGAAAUUAAAAAUACAAAUUUAUUUACAAUAUUUCAACAAUUCUGAAAAGCAGGAUGGUCUAACACUGUAAUGUCUGUUGAGAAGUGAAAACAAUCCAUUUGUGCUUCAAUAUAAAUCAUUAUUUUAGAUGAAAUAAAUUUCAUGUAACACUUCUGAUUUAACUUAGUUGCUCAAUUAAGGCAUUUACCCAUUCAUUCCUGAAUCAUUGUUGGCCAAUAGAAGCUAGAAAUGGCUCUGUUGCGGGUGCCCUCGACGUCGCUGUCGUUCCCAGUACCAGAGUUAUUGUGACACUCCAUGAAGAUAGUCCGCUUCCCCUUUGACUUGAUGACCAGGCGCAUAUAUUUUAUUGGGGGGUUAUCUGUUGGACGAAAAUUAAAAAAGCAAAGAGAAUCUUAAAAUGCAGCAGAUUAAAAUGACCACCACCUGAAAGAGAUUAACAAUAAUAAUUCAAAAAUAAAUAAAACUCAGCUCUGGACCUUCUCCCACCUGAGAUUCACAGUUUCUCUUAUUUUUAUUUUAACAUUUCAUAUCUCAUUUUCUACUUAAAAAACUAAAAUAGAAAAAGUGCCUCUUUUUUCAAUUAUUUAAAUAUCUUUAUAAAUAGCUUAUGGAGCUGCGUUUUUAAAAGGCCAAAAAUAGUCACUUGGCCUACAAAGGAUUUUUUUUUAAAAAAAAUGUAGAGGCUCAUAUAUUCAUGACCCUCUUUUCAGACUUAUAACACAAAUUGCUAGUAGAGCAUCAGUUUUUCUUACCUUUAACAAUGAAAUCACGCACCAUUUGUCGAACCUUAAGGCGCCCCACUUGAGUAGUUGGAAGCGUUCCGUCGACCAGGUACGUUAGAAGAUGCUAGGUAUCCACAUUCAUCUUCUCGGAUCACUCGAAGUAUCUAUUUAGACAAAUUCAAGCAUUUCACGCCACUCUAAGAAUUAAACUAACCACACAAGUUCGAUGUAUCCACUACUCGAGUCAAAGUUCGCAGGAACCUUUCGAAGAUCGUGGCGUACACACACGCAUAAAAAAACCCUCAAUGUCCGAGCCUAACGCAUAAAUCUAUAUCUCCCGUCAUCCUUCGGGAGAAAAUGGCGUCGAUCUGCGCGUGCGCAGUAGCAAACCGUCACAAUCGAUGCACCCGUCACGAUCGGGUAAUGACAGUAGGCUCACUAUCCUAUAUACCCUACCCACCGACGUCACAAAACCACGUGCUCGCUGUGUGGUUCCGCCCACGUGUCCGUCAUUUUGUCUCUGUAUUAGCAUUGUUUUCAAUUGAUCGAGGAAUUUAAAAUGCAUUUCAUGGAAGACCCGGUGCUUUCUGAUGCCGUAAACUCACUGGAUGUGUUGCAUAAAAGGUGUUAUGUGGAAAAGCUUCGUUCUAUACAGUCGCCAGAUCCAUAUUUGAUGCCCAAAUCGAUGUUUUUCGACCCACUGUCUUCGCCCUGUCUGCCUGACAUCUGCUACGCUGAUAUUUACAAUUAUCUUGUCCACACAAAAUCAGCCUAUUCUCACGAAAAUUUGAAAAACUUCAAGAGCUUGGAGGCUUAUAAAUACUUCGUUGCUGGUUGGGUGAAACAGGUCCUCGUCCACGAAAAUUCGGCAGGAAUCUAUCUUGUGCUUGGAAAGGUGAGUUACGAAAUUUUCAAUUCAAAAUCUUUUGUUAUUGCUAACAUCCACUGUCAAGUCUAGUGUAUUUCAUGUCGUUUGUCAAUGGAGUUAAGGCUUUUAAUGUUUAUAUGGUUUAGCGAUAGCACUCUCACUACAUACAUACGUGUAUGUUGUCGGCGAUUAGCCUAGCAAUGAUCUUAAUUGUGGUUAUUUGUCAGCCCCGUAGACGAGGCUUCUUUCACUUGGUACCAGCUAAAUAUUAUUCAAAAAAUAACGAUGGUGGAAGAAAGGGAAGUCACAAACAUCUUGAAUUUGAAACUAUGUCGUACUACGUCGUAUGUUGUCGGCGAUUAGCCUCGCAAUGAUGUUAAUUGUGGUUAUUUGUCAGCCCCGUAGACGAGGCCAGUUUCUUUCACUUGGUACCAGCUAAAUAUUAUUCAAAAAAUAACAAUGGUGGAAGAAAGGGAAGUCACAAACAUCUUGAAUUUGAAACUAUGUCGUACUACGUCGUAUGUUGUCGGCGAUUAGCCUCGCAAUGAUGUUAAUUGUGGUUAUUUGUCAGCCCCGUAGACGAGGCCAGUUUCUUUCACUUGGUACCAGCUAAAUAUUAUUCAAAAAAUAACGAUGGUGGAAGAAAGGGAAGUCACAAACAUCUUGAAUUUGAAACCAUGUCGUACUACAUCGUAUGUUGUCGGCGAUUAGCCUCGCAAUGAUCUUAAUUGUGGGUAUUUGUCAGCCCAAAACCCUCUAAGUAUAUCUUAAAUGCAUCUUACCGGAUAUAAAAUGACUACUACAUAGUCUGUGGUGAUUUUUUUGGUGCCCAGUUUUCACGUCGAAUUGCAGCCGUCCAUUUCGCUCUCUUUGGAUCCCUCGGAAUACGGUAAAACUUCAAGUCUCUCCUUCCAUCUUCUCUGUUAGUGCAACCAACAGCCACACACGCCUUCACCAUUUUGAUUAUUAAUGUUAAGGAGCAGAAAAACACGACGUAAAUAGGAGAAAUGUACGUAGCCGUAACAGGUUAACACUAUGUUUUGACGGACAAGUGGGCGGUACCAUUCAGGAGAGCGGAGUUGUGACGUCACGUGGGUAGGGUCUAUUCCCCUCACUAUCCACUCGCAGUGGCCUGCGCUUGACAGUGACGUUACUUAUUAUCGCUAUAUGAUUGGCCGAAGAGUCGAAAUGCUCUCCCGUGAAAUGCCUGUUUAAAAAUGUUCCCGUUGUUUUUGAGUUGUAGUACCGUUUGCUUAAAAGUGCCCAUUUAAAAAUUCGCAUGUAAAGCAGUCGAUGAUACCACACACAGAGCGUAUUAUUAACAAAUGUUAAAGUUGCAUAAAAGAGCAAAUUUACGUCAAUACGCUUGAGCUUUGGCGCGCAUGCGCACGCAUUUUUAAAAAAAAAACAUUUUUCCCUUUCAUACAUUUCAGUGAUUAGAAUACAUACACAGCAAUAAAUGACGUUCAGAAGUUACUCCCAACGAAAGUCUCACAACUUCCUAUGUUAUAAUCUAAAGUAACAUCACGAUCAUAUGAAAUCGCCACAGUGCCCAUAAGUAUCCAUCUCUAAAAUCUUUUUUUUUUUUAAUCAGUUUUAUUCCCUGGAUUUUAAUUGCGUGAGACUCAACCCCUUUAUUGUGUUUUGGUUUGUUAUUAUAUUUGAUGUUAUGUUUCUUUUUUCUUUAUUAUAUUUUGGUUUUUGUUCAUGAACAUUAUGUAAAGUAAUUUGUGCCAGUUUUUAACAUGUGGUUUUAAAGUGAUUUAUUAGGAGAGUUGAGAAUAAUUAUUCUUAAGAAUUUCCAUCCUUAUUGAAUAUCCAUCCAUCUUCCACCGCUUAAUCAGAGGGUCAGAAGAAGCACCUUCAACAGGAAAGAGUUCCUUCUCCUCAUAAAUGUUGUUCUGCUCCUCAAAGUCAGACAAAGAAUGAGGAAGAAUUAGGUCUCCUCAACCUGUCCUGGUGAACUCCAGGUUUCUUCCCAGUGAACGUGCCCAACAGAUCACCAGGGAGGUGACCUUACUGAAUAUUCAAUUAUUAAUAAUCUAAUUGAUGAUGAACAUGAUCUCAUUAUGGUUGCCCUUUCAAUCGUUUGAUGAGAACAAAGACAAGAAGUGAAAUACCUUUUAAUAUUUAUUGAUAACAAUAUUCUGGAAGAAUAACAGCAUCGAUGGGUUCUGAUUAACUUACCCUACCAAAUAGACAUGCAUAGGAGAGUUGAACCAGUCAGAACUCUCACCUACUAGUCCUUGAACCAGCAUAUAGUAUCAAAACGCAGUAUCUAGACAGUAAAUUUGCCUUUCUUAAAUGCAAACUUUGCCCCGGCAAAAAAAGAUGCACUUAAGGAGAAGAAAACAUUUGUAACAUAUGCAUCCUUUCUUUCAUUCAUUCAUUUUCAAUGCCACUUUUCCUCACGAGGGUCACAGAGGUGCUGGAGCCUAUCCUAGCUAACUACAGGCAGUAGGCGGCUUACACCCCUAAUAGUUUGCCAGCCAAUCACAGGGCACAAUGAGACAUACAACCAUUCACGCAGACACUCAUACCUACGCACAAUUUAGAGUGUUCAAUCAGCCUACCACCCAUUUUUUGGGCUGUGGGAGGAAAUUAGAGUCCCCGGAGAAAACCCACGCAGACACGGGAAGAGCAUGCGAACUCCGGAGCCCGGGAUUGAAUCCUUGAUCUCAGAACUGUGAGGCGGACGUGUUAACCACCCGGCCACCGUGCCGCCAUUUGCAUCCUGUUGGGGAAAAAAAAUCAUAUUCAAUAAAUUAAAAAAGAAAAAAAAUACUUUUUUAAUCCACUAAUAUGUAAAGACAAAUGAAAAUGAAAAAAAAUUCCCUGAGAAUUGCCACCUGAAGUGGGAGCAAACAUUUUUUUAGCCAGUGGUCAAAAAUUGAUAUUUGAUCUUUUGCCAGAUUGGUUGUUGGCCAUUUACCUGCAAUUACGGAAUACUAUGAAUUCUGUUGAAAACCCAGGCCACACCCAUGCUGAACCCAGGCCACAGAACAGGGCCGAUUGUAAUGUUUCAAAACCUAAAGAUGGUAUGGAAACUAUUGUCGCCAAAGCCAUCUGGGGUGAGCGAGUCCAGCAAAAACAGCUGUCGCUGUGCUGGCUUCAGUACCUGUUAAUCAUUUUCAAAACAAUUCUCAUAACAUUACAGAACUGUUGAUAUUUGAUAAUGUAGUUGAUCAUUUAAAACACGCACGCAAAGCAAAUAGUGAUUUGCUUUUCUUGGCUGUCGUCUCCAGGCAGGGAUGAUAAUUUGUUCUUUGGACAGGAGUUCACCCUGGCAUUUUAAAGAAGUGAAUUUGCAUUGUACAGUAAAAGUAACUUUGUCAAUCAAUUCAAAAGCAUCGCAGGAAAGCGCACUUACAGGAAGAGCGGUCAUUGGGUCCACCAUUUCCAUUUUCCAUGUCGGUACAACAUACAUGUCCACUAUGUGGACAUCUGUGGUCUACAGUGAUCAAAAUAACAUAUUAAUGUAAAACUGCACUACAACCAGCAACAUUUGUAGAAUUUAUGAUCUUGUACUUGGGCGGGGGGGACCAAAAUAAAAUAUAUAAAUGAUAAGGUCCUACUUCUAAAAGAACAUAGAGAAACAAAACCAUACAUU
This is an RNA transcript of Corythoichthys intestinalis (scribbled pipefish), 6915 nucleotides long. It is a transcript of the gene named gastrula zinc finger protein XlCGF8.2DB-like, with no coding region annotated. The record is from RefSeq and is a predicted model, not a curated record. The transcript is spliced from 2 exons. NCBI's taxonomy places the organism in Eukaryota, Metazoa, Chordata, Actinopteri, Syngnathiformes, Syngnathidae.